RNAcentral lists this non-coding RNA (21 nucleotides) under Caenorhabditis elegans. The record is from RNAcentral. Lineage: Eukaryota; Metazoa; Nematoda; Chromadorea; Rhabditida; Rhabditidae.
UCCUUCAUUCGAAAUUGAUCA